UACAGAGGGGGCCAGCGUUAUUCGGAAUUAUUGGGCGUAAAGGGCGCGUAGGCGGCUUUGCGUGUCUUUCGUGAAAUCCCUCGGCUCAACUGAGGACGUGCGGAAGAAACUGCAGGGCUGGAGUCCGGGAGAGGAGGGUGGAAUUCCCGGUGUAGUGGUGAAAUGCGUAGAUAUCGGGAGGAACACCAGUGGCGAAGGCGACUACGUGGCCCGGUACUGACGCUGAGGUGCGAAAGCGUGGGGAGCAAACAGG
RNAcentral lists this ribosomal RNA (253 nucleotides) under uncultured bacterium. Its description in RNAcentral is "partial 16S ribosomal RNA". It matches the Rfam family "Bacterial small subunit ribosomal RNA", at positions 524 to 776 of the family's 1533-position model. The record is from RNAcentral.